Molecule: non-coding RNA, 112 nt
Organism: Acanthosepion pharaonis
Lineage: Eukaryota; Metazoa; Mollusca; Cephalopoda; Sepiida; Sepiidae
Source: the annotation of a GenBank genome assembly
UUACGGCCGUACCACGUUAAGACAUUGGUUCCCGUACGAUCAGCGAAGUUAAGCAACGUCGAGCCUGGUCAGUAUUUAGAUGAGUGGCCACUUAGGAAUACCAGGUGGUGGA